CCUACGGGUGGCAGCAGUGAGGAAUAUUGGUCAAUGGACGAGAGUCUGAACCAGCCAAGUAGCGUGAAGGAUGACUGCCCUAUGGGUUGUAAACUUCUUUUAUAUGGGAAUAAAAUGUUCCACGUGUGGGAUUUUGUAUGUACCAUAUGAAUAAGGAUCGGCUAACUCCGUGCCAGCAGCCGCGGUAAUACGGAGGAUCCGAGCGUUAUCCGGAUUUAUUGGGUUUAAAGGGAGCGUAGGUGGAUUGUGAAGUCAAUUGUGAAAGUUUGCGGCUCAACCGUAAGAUUGCAGUUGAAACUGGCAGUCUUGAGUGCACUAGAAGUGAGCGGAAUGCGUGGUGUAGCGGUGAAAUGCUUAGAUAUCACGAAGAACUCCGAUUGCGAAGGCAGCUCACUGGAGUGCAACUGACACUGAGGCUCGAAAGUGUGGGUAUCGAACAGGAUUAGAUACCCUAGUAGUC
RNAcentral lists this ribosomal RNA (460 nucleotides) under uncultured bacterium. RNAcentral describes it as "partial 16S ribosomal RNA". It matches the Rfam family "Bacterial small subunit ribosomal RNA", at positions 338 to 795 of the family's 1533-position model. The record is from RNAcentral.